GAUGAACGCUGGCGGCGUGCCUAAUACAUGCAAGUCGAGCGAACAGACGAGGAGCUUGCUCCUCUGACGUUAGCGGCGGACGGGUGAGUAACACGUGGAUAACCUACCUAUAAGACUGGGAUAACUUCGGGAAACCGGAGCUAAUACCGGAUAAUAUAUUGAACCGCAUGGUUCAAUAGUGAAAGACGGUUUUGCUGUCACUUAUAGAUGGAUCCGCGCCGCAUUAGCUAGUUGGUAAGGUAACGGCUUACCAAGGCAACGAUGCGUAGCCGACCUGAGAGGUUGAUCGGCCACACUGGAACUGAGACACGGUCCAGACUCCUACGGGAGGCAGCAGUAGGGAAUCUUCCGCAAUGGGCGAAAGCCUGACGGAGCAACGCCGCGUGAGUGAUGAAGGUCUUCGGAUCGUAAAACUCUGUUAUUAGGGAAGAACAAAUGUGUAAGUAACUAUACACGUCUUGACGGUACCUAAUCAGAAAGCCACGGCUAACUACGUG
RNAcentral lists this ribosomal RNA (497 nucleotides) under uncultured bacterium. RNAcentral's name for it is "partial 16S ribosomal RNA". It matches the Rfam family "Bacterial small subunit ribosomal RNA", at positions 28 to 507 of the family's 1533-position model. The record is from RNAcentral.